UGCAAUGUAGCUCAGUGGGUAGAGCAGGCAACUUCGAUUGCCAGGCCGAGGGUUCGACUCCCUCUAUUGCAA
Molecule: transfer RNA, 72 nt
Filed under: Steroidobacter gossypii
Lineage: Bacteria; Pseudomonadati; Pseudomonadota; Gammaproteobacteria; Steroidobacterales; Steroidobacteraceae
Description: tRNA-OTHER
Rfam family: tRNA
About the family: Transfer RNA (tRNA) molecules are approximately 80 nucleotides in length. Their secondary structure includes four short double-helical elements and three loops (D, anti-codon, and T loops).
Source: RNAcentral